AACACAUUAUCGCCUUUCUCAAGUGGCCCAUCAAGAGACACUAGCUUAUGCGCGUGACCCCGACCGCCCCCGCCUUUGGGAUUUUUUUCCUCUGUUUGCCGAAAAGGAGAUUCCCUGUCGGAAUUUUACCGCUUUUCUACGAGAAAAAUGACGUAAAAAUUGAUUUUAAACAGCGGUUGACAUGCUUCGACGUACGGCAAUUGAAUACUUUGAACUUUAUUGUCGGGAAUUGCGCCAAGCGCGCGACACUUCUUUACUAUUUCGGAUAGUGUCUGGAACGCACGAACAAAACGCCGCUAUUCGGAUAUAACGAUGGAUUAUUUUGGACCAAACCAACAUUUGUUAUUGAAGUAGACGUCCUGGGUGUGCAUUCUGACGAAGACAACAAAAGAGUCAAAUGUGAGAGGGCAGCCCAGAUGACCAAGUGGCUGAACAUCAUCUGGCCGGAAAACCAGGUUGCGGAAUACAUGAAGGAGACCACGAAUCAGAGGGCUCAGUGGACCAAACAGAAUGGGGCCAAGACAAUCGAGAUAGUCCUAAAGUAUCCGCGUCUGCUGGAUACUCCAAGCACUAUGGAUACACAAGGUGACAUCGCUUUAAGACUUCUGACAGUGGUCCUCCCGACACCAGUCUACAAGA
Molecule: long non-coding RNA, 639 nt
Filed under: Salmo salar (Atlantic salmon)
Lineage: Eukaryota; Metazoa; Chordata; Actinopteri; Salmoniformes; Salmonidae
Description: lncRNA (ENSSSAG00000091312.1)
Source: RNAcentral